GACGUAGGGCGCGAGCGUUGUCCGGAUUUAUUGGGCGUAAAGAGCUCGUAGGCGGCUCGUUGCGUCGGCUGUGAAAACCCGCAGCUCAACUGUGGGCUUGCAGCUGAUACGGGCGGGCUGGGAUUUGGUAGGGGAGACUGGAAUUCCUGGUGUAGCGGUGAAAUGCGCAGAUAUCAGGAGGAACACCGGUGGCGAAGGCGGGUCUCUGGGCCGAUAUCGACGCUGAGGAGCGAAAGCGUGGGGAGCGAACAGG
This 253-nucleotide ribosomal RNA is filed under the name uncultured bacterium. RNAcentral describes it as "partial 16S ribosomal RNA". It matches the Rfam family "Bacterial small subunit ribosomal RNA", at positions 524 to 776 of the family's 1533-position model. The record is from RNAcentral.